Leopardus geoffroyi (Geoffroy's cat) is the source of this 814-nucleotide long non-coding RNA. RefSeq lists it as uncharacterized. The record is from RefSeq and is a predicted model, not a curated record. Lineage: Eukaryota; Metazoa; Chordata; Mammalia; Carnivora; Felidae. The transcript has 3 exons.
UUUGGAGUCUGAGCUGACAUGUAAGAAGUCCAACUACCCUGAAACUGCCCUACUGGAGAGACCAGAUAGAGAGACACAUGCAGAGAGAGGUUAGAGGAGCCCUCAGAUCUUGAAUCUUCCCAGCAUCGACAGGCAAGCCUGUGAGUGGGUGAGCUAUAUUAGAGGACGUUUAUACUUUGGGAAACAGAUCCAGGAGAAAGAAGACUGAUGUGUUGAAAGAAGGUACUUCUAUGUAUGUUCCAUGGAGUCAAGGACAUUGGUUACUGCUGGAUCCCCAACUCUUACAACAGUGUCUGGCACACAGCAGGAGGUCAGUAAAUAUUCUUUGAGUGGAUAUAGUACAGUUUCCAAGUCAGACCUAUUAUGCUAGCUACCAGCAAGACAAAGGGUACUGUCCUCUCAUUGGUCAUGGGGUAAGGAAAGACAGGUAGCCAGCUUUAGUCAGCUACCCAGUGACCAAAGGUUAUUGCCAUGUGGUCAUAGAGGAGGUCAAGGGCAUCUGCCCUAUUCAUAUCUCUCCCCAGGGUUUUUGACAUUUAUUUGUUUGUUGUUAGUAAUGAGUACUAUAAAGAACUUCUUUGACAAAUGGCCCAUUUCAUUAAAGUCACCAAAUAUCUUUUCUAUCCAAAUCUUAUAUAAGCAAUAAUUAUUAGUAACGGCUAUUAUUUACUGAUUGACCACAAUGUGCCACACAUAUAUUAUCUCAUCAAGUUCUUAAAACAACUUUUAGAUCUGUACUAUUAUCCCUGUUUUACUGGUGAAGAAACUGAGGCUUGGAGAAGGUAAGAAACUUGGCCUAGGGCAUAUAGCUCUU